Non-coding RNA from Ceratotherium simum simum (southern white rhinoceros), 145 nucleotides. NCBI's taxonomy places the organism in Eukaryota, Metazoa, Chordata, Mammalia, Perissodactyla, Rhinocerotidae. The record is from RefSeq and is a predicted model, not a curated record.
UCCAAUAGACUGUGAGUGAAAGUGAAAGAAAUUGAUUUGUACAAUCUAUUAUUGUAUUUAAACCUAUUUUGGGAUUGACAGAAAUGACAGACUCUCUUUUCUUUCUCCCAAAACCUCCAAUACUAAUCCCAAAAUGAUUAGAAAA